Molecule: ribosomal RNA, 720 nt
Filed under: uncultured Serratia sp.
Lineage: Bacteria; Pseudomonadati; Pseudomonadota; Gammaproteobacteria; Enterobacterales; Yersiniaceae
Description: bacterial SSU rRNA
Rfam family: Bacterial small subunit ribosomal RNA
Source: RNAcentral
GUAGUCCACGCUGUAUAUGAUGUCGAUUUGGAGGUUGUGCCCUUGAGGCGUGGCUUCCGGAGCUAACGCGUUAAAUCGACCGCAUGGGGAGUACGGCCGCAAGGUUAAAACUCAAAUGAUUUGACGGGGCCCCGCACAAGCGGUGGAGCAUGUGGUUUAAUUUGAUGCAACGCGAAGAACCUUACCUACUCUUGACAUCCAGAGAACUUUCCAGAGAUGGAUUGGUGCCUUCGGGAACUCUGAGACAGGUGCUGCAUGGCUGUCGUCAGCUCGUGUUGUGAAAUGUUGGGUUAAGUCCCGCAACGAGUGCAACCCUUAUCCUUUGUUGCCAGCGGUUCGGCCGGGAACUCAAAGGAGACUGCCAGUGAUAAACUGGAGGAAGGUGGGGAUGACGUCAAGUCAUCAUGGCCCUUAGGAGUAGGGCUACACACGUGCUACAAUGGCGUAUACAAAGAGAAGCGACCUCGCGAGAGCAAGCGGACCUCAUAAAGUACGUCGUAGUCCGGAUUGGAGUCUGCAACUCGACUCCAUGAAGUCGGAAUCGGUAGUAAUCGUAGAUCAGAAUGAUACGGUGAAUACGUUCCCGGGCCUUGUCCACCCCGCCCGUCACACCAUGGGAGUGGGUUGCAAAAGAAGUAGGUAGCUUAACCUUCGGGAGGGCGCUUACCACUUUGUGAUUCAUGACUGGGGUGAAGUGGUACCAAGGUAGCCGUAAAGGGC